CGGGCAGGAAGUGCGGGUGCGCGCCUGCGCAUAGGUCGGGUCUGCGGUGUCACCGCUUUCGCUUCUGCUUGAGGGCAUAAGGAAAUGGUGGCAGGCACUUCCUCCUAACAAGAAGGAAGUAGUUAAAGAAAAUAUAAGGAAGAAUAAAUGGAAGCUAUUCCUUGGUUUGAGUAGUUUUGGAUUGCUCUUUGUGGUGUUUUAUUUUACUCACCUGGAAGUAAGUCCAAUCACAGGAAGGAGCAAGCUACUAUUAUUGGGGAAAGAACAGUUCAGACUUUUAUCGGAACUGGAAUAUGAAGCAUGGAUGGAAGAAUUUAAAAAUGAUAUGCUAACUGAGAAAGAUGCCCGAUACCUGGCUGUUAAAGAAGUGCUUUGUCAUCUAAUUGAAUGCAAUAAAGAUGUUCCAGGGAUCUCUCAGAUCAAUUGGGUUAUUCAUGUGGUUGAUUCCCCAAUUAUUAAUGCCUUCGUGCUUCCAAAUGGACAAAUGUUUGUUUUCACUGGAUUUUUAAAUAGUGUAACCGAUAUUCAUCAACUUUCUUUCCUUCUGGG
This 549-nucleotide long non-coding RNA is filed under the name Homo sapiens (human). RNAcentral describes it as "HSALNT0007474". The record is from RNAcentral. Lineage: Eukaryota; Metazoa; Chordata; Mammalia; Primates; Hominidae.